RNAcentral lists this unclassified non-coding RNA (392 nucleotides) under Hevea brasiliensis (rubber tree). The record is from RNAcentral. Lineage: Eukaryota; Viridiplantae; Streptophyta; Magnoliopsida; Malpighiales; Euphorbiaceae.
GAAGAAGAAGAAGAAGAAGAUACAAAUUAUCCUUGCCUCCUGUAUAAAGCAUAGUUUGACUUUAUUUCAUGCUACUUAGAGUUUCUGCCAUUAAAGCUAAAUGAAAAUUUCAAAUUCUUUAUUGUGAUACAAUAUAUGAACAUUCUACUGUAGUAGAUUGAAUGGAAAGGAUUGAUGAAGAGAGUAGCAUAAAGUGGAAGUUUAUACCAAGCUUGAAUGCCAUCUUGACAAACAAUGGUCGCUUGAGGGUCCUUCAUAGCUAUAUGUUUUCCUUUUUUAUAUAUAUAUAUAUUUUUUAUGUCUAAAUUUGAUACAUUAUAAAUCUAAAAUAUCAAAUAUAUUGUAAGAUUCAUGAAUUUCAUAUAUUUAUUGUUAUAAAUAGCUUGUAUGUU